UUACAGAGUAUUAAAACACUCCUGUAUAAACCAUUUGUGAACCUAUACCUUACGUUGCCUCGGCGGUCUUACCCUGCAGCUUACCCUGUAGCGGGCGGACCGCCGGUGGAAAACCAAACUAUUUGUAUUAUUAUCAUCUGAGAGUCUUAUGAAAAUAAGUCAAAACCUUUAACAACGGAUCUCUUGGUUCUGGCAUCGAUGAAGAACGCAGCGAAAUGCGAUAAGUAAUGUGAAUUGCAGAAUUCAGUGAAUCAUCGAAUCUUUGAACGCACAUUGCGCCCCCCAGCAUUCUGGAGGGCAUGCCUGUUCGAGCGUCAUUAGUACCACUCAAGACCUAGUCUUGGCGUUGGGAGACUACCCGGGAGCUACCCUGUAGCUGUUACCCUGUAGCUCCUCAAAUUCACCGGCGGAGUGACGGUUCUACCUCUGAGCGCAGUAAUAUACCUCUCGCUUCUGUAGGUGCCGUGGCCCUCGCCGCUAAACCCCCAACUUUUUUACUGGGUUGACCUCGGAUCAGGUAGGAAUACCCGCUGAACUUAAGCAUAUCAAUAAGCGGAGGAAAAGAAACCAACAGGGAUUCCCCUAGUAACGGCGAGUGAAGCGGGAACAGCUCAAAUUUGAAAGCUGACUUUCGGGUCCGCAUUGUA
RNAcentral lists this ribosomal RNA (647 nucleotides) under fungal endophyte. RNAcentral's name for it is "eukaryotic LSU rRNA". The stretch from base 164 to 317 matches the Rfam family "5.8S ribosomal RNA". The record is from RNAcentral. Lineage: Eukaryota; Fungi.